RNAcentral lists this ribosomal RNA (497 nucleotides) under uncultured bacterium. Its description in RNAcentral is "partial 16S ribosomal RNA". It matches the Rfam family "Bacterial small subunit ribosomal RNA", at positions 28 to 507 of the family's 1533-position model. The record is from RNAcentral.
GAUGAACGCUGGCGGCGUGCCUAAUACAUGCAAGUCGAGCGAACAGACGAGGAGCUUGCUCCUCUGACGUUAGCGGCGGACGGGUGAGUAACACGUGGAUAACCUACCUAUAAGACUGGGAUAACUUCGGGAAACCGGAGCUAAUACCGGAUAAUAUAUUGAACCGCAUGGUUCAAUAGUGAAAGACGGUUUUGCUGUCACUUAUAGAUGGAUCCGCGCCGCAUUAGCUAGUUGGAAAGGUAACGGCUUACCAAGGCAACGAUGCGUAGCCGACCUGAGAGGGUGAUAGGCCACACUGGAACUGAGACACGGUCCAGACUCCUACGGGAGGCAGCAGUAGGGAAUCUUCCGCAAUGGGCGAAAGCCUGACGGAGCAACGCCGCGUGAGUGAUGAAGGUCUUCGGAUCGUAAAACUCUGUUAUUAGGGAAGAACAAAUGUGUAAGUAACUAUGCACGUCUUGACGGUACCUAAUCAGAAAGCCACGGCUAACUACGUG